CAGCAGGUCGCACAGUGAUUAGAGCUGCCGCUUUUGAACUACGCGGUUGCAGGUUCAAAUCCUACCUCCUGCUGU
RNAcentral lists this transfer RNA (75 nucleotides) under Scleropages formosus (Asian bonytongue). RNAcentral's name for it is "tRNA-Gln". The record is from RNAcentral. Lineage: Eukaryota; Metazoa; Chordata; Actinopteri; Osteoglossiformes; Osteoglossidae.